GUGACAGCACUUGAAGAUGAAUUCCUGCAUUUUUUCUGCAGUAGUUGCAUAGCAGAAGACAGUGGCAGGGCAGACUUCUCUUACAAAUGUCUGAGCCCUGACCUCAAGAGAUCACCUUUAGAGAUGAGUCUCUGUGCCCAUUCAAUUCUUGACCUCC
This 157-nucleotide small RNA is filed under the name Coturnix japonica (Japanese quail). RNAcentral's name for it is "TUC338 (ENSCJPG00005004428.1)". Lineage: Eukaryota; Metazoa; Chordata; Aves; Galliformes; Phasianidae. The record is from RNAcentral.